This 425-nucleotide ribosomal RNA is filed under the name uncultured cyanobacterium. Its description in RNAcentral is "bacterial SSU rRNA". It matches the Rfam family "Bacterial small subunit ribosomal RNA", at positions 356 to 795 of the family's 1533-position model. The record is from RNAcentral. Lineage: Bacteria; Bacillati; Cyanobacteriota.
GGGGAAUUUUCCGCAAUGGGCGAAAGCCUGACGGAGCAAUACCGCGUGAGGGAUGACGGCCUAUGGGUUGUAAACCUCUUUUUUCAGGGAGGAAUCAAUGACGUGUACCUGAAGAAUAAGCAUCGGCUAACUCCGUGCCAGCAGCCGCGGUAAGACGGAGGAUGCAAGUGUUAUCCGGAAUCACUGGGCGUAAAGCGUCUGUAGGUGGUUUGAUAAGUCAACUGUUAAAUCUUGAGGCUCAACCUCAAAACCGCAGUCGAAACUAUUAGACUAGAGUAUAGUAGGGGUAAAGGGAAUUUCCAGUGGAGCGGUGAAAUGCGUAGAUAUUGGAAAGAACACCGAUGGCGAAGGCACUUUACUGGGCUAUUACUAACACUCAGAGACGAAAGCUAGGGUAGCAAAUGGGAUUAGAUACCCCAGUAGUC